GAUGAAGAACGCAGUGAAAUGCGAUAAGUAAUGUGAAUUGCAGAAUUCAGUGAAUCAUCGAAUCUUUGAACGCACAUUGCGCCCGCCAGUAUUCUGGCGGGCAUGCCUGUUCGAGCGUCAUUUCAACCAUCAAGCCCCAGGCUUGUGUUGGGGACCUGCGGCUGCCGCAGGCCCUGAAAACCAGUGGCGGGCUCGCUAGUCACACCGAGCGUAGUAGCAUACACAUCGCUCAGGGCGUGCUGCGGGUUCCGGCCGUUAAACCCCUUUUUUACCCAAGGUUGACCUCGGAUCAGGUAGGAUGACCCGCUGAACUUAAGCAUAUCAAUAAGCGGAGGA
This 336-nucleotide unclassified non-coding RNA is filed under the name soil metagenome. RNAcentral describes it as "partial contains 5.8S ribosomal RNA, internal transcribed spacer 2, and large subunit ribosomal RNA". The stretch from base 1 to 120 matches the Rfam family "5.8S ribosomal RNA", at positions 35 to 154 of the family's 154-position model. The record is from RNAcentral.